This is a long non-coding RNA of Panthera uncia (snow leopard), 555 nucleotides long. RefSeq lists it as uncharacterized. The transcript is spliced from 3 exons. Lineage: Eukaryota; Metazoa; Chordata; Mammalia; Carnivora; Felidae. The record is from RefSeq and is a predicted model, not a curated record.
UGUCUAGGGGACACUCAAGUAGCUCCCAGGAAAGUCCAUGUGACAAGGAACUGAGCUAUCUGCCAACAGCUGAUGAGGAACGGAGGCAAUCCAUGAACAUCCAGUGGGUGAGCCAUCUUAGAAGCAUACCCUCAAGUUGCAGUAAAACCUUUUGAUGAUGGCAGCUCCUGCUGACAUCUCCACCACAACCUCCUAAGAGACCUGGAGCUGGAACCACUCAGCUGAAGAAAGAAUCAUAGAUGUUAAAUGAUCUGCCUGGGAUCUCGAAGCUGGUCAGAAGCACAACCGGAAUUAGAAUGUCUAGUUUGGGGUAAAUAUGAUAGCUGGAGCUGGAGCAGCCAUAUUGGGUCAAGAGACAGAGCCACAGUUGAGGAUGACAGAGCAAUUAGAGACAGCCUGCGUCCCUGAUACUAUACAGCUGCCAUACAUCAACAGUCCUGCCCAUCUAAAUUGUCAGGUGAGAGAGAACAAAGUUUUAUAUUAUUUGAGCCUCUGUGUUUUGGUCUUUUUCUUUUUCUUUUUUCAUUACAGCAGCCUGAGUAGAUUUUAUCUAAU